AUUGAACGCUGGCGGCAUGCCUUACACAUGCAAGUCGAACGGUAGAGGGGGCAACCUCUCGAGAGUGGCGAACGGGUGAGUAAAGCAUCGGAACGUGCCCAGUAGUGGGGGAUAGCCCGGCGAAAGCCGGAUUAAUACCGCAUGAGACCUACGGGUGAAAGGGGGGGAUCGCAAGACCUCUCGCUAUUGGAGCGGCCGGUGUCAGAUUAGGUAGUUGGCGGGGUAAAGGCCUACCAAGCCGACGAUCUGUAGCUGGUCUGAGAGGACGACCAGCAACACUGGGACUGAGACACGGCGCAGACUCCUACGGGAGGCAGCAGUGGGGAAUUUUGGACAAUGGGCGAAAGCCUGAUCCAGCCAUGCCGCGUGCGGGAAGAAGGGCUUCGGGUUGUAAACCGCUUUUGUCGGGGAAGAAAUCCUUUGAGUUAAUACCUCGGGGGGAUGACGGUACCUGAAGAAUAAGCACCGGCUAACUACGUGCCAGCCGCCGCAGUAA
RNAcentral lists this ribosomal RNA (496 nucleotides) under uncultured bacterium. RNAcentral's name for it is "partial 16S ribosomal RNA". It matches the Rfam family "Bacterial small subunit ribosomal RNA", at positions 29 to 523 of the family's 1533-position model. The record is from RNAcentral.